AUUGAACGCUGGCGGCAUGCUUUACACAUGCAAGUCGAACGGCAGCGCGGGCUUCGGCCUGGCGGCGAGUGGCGAACGGGUGAGUAAUGCAUCGGAACGUGCCCAGUAGUGGGGGAUAGCCCGGCGAAAGCCGGAUUAAUACCGCAUACGACCUGAGGGUGAAAGCGGGGGAGCGAAAGGCCUCGCGCUAUUGGAGCGGCCGAUGUCGGAUUAGCCAGUUGGUGGGGUAAAGGCUUACCAAGGCGACGAUCCGUAGCUGGUCUGAGAGGACGACCAGCCACACUGGGACUGAGACACGGCCCAGACUCCUACGGGAGGCAGCAGUGGGGAAUUUUGGACAAUGGGGGCAAACCUGAUCCAGCCAUGCCGCGUGCGGGAAGAAGGCCUUCGGGUUGUAAACCGCUUUUGUUCGGGAAGAAAUCCUCUGGGCUAAUACCCCGGGGGGAUGACGGUACCGGAAGAAUAAGCACCGGCUAACUACGUG
RNAcentral lists this ribosomal RNA (484 nucleotides) under uncultured bacterium. RNAcentral describes it as "partial 16S ribosomal RNA". It matches the Rfam family "Bacterial small subunit ribosomal RNA", at positions 29 to 507 of the family's 1533-position model. The record is from RNAcentral.